Molecule: non-coding RNA, 126 nt
Organism: Podarcis lilfordi (Lilford's wall lizard)
Lineage: Eukaryota; Metazoa; Chordata; Lepidosauria; Squamata; Lacertidae
Source: the annotation of a GenBank genome assembly
GCACCUUAGAGACCAACUAAGUUUGUUAUUGGUAUAAGCUUUCAUGUGUAUGAAGAAGUAUCUGAAGAAGUGUGCAUGCAUAUGAAAGCUUAUACCAAGAACAAACUUAGUUGGUCUCUAAGAUGC